UUUGCCGUACGUAGACAGCGCAUUUCCUCGAUAUCCGUCAUGAAAUGAUCGUGCCUACUGAAUUGUCUCUUCCUGUCUCUCACUUUUUAAUCUAUUCAAUCUAUUCAAUUUUCCUACUACAUCAGAGAUUAAAAAGAGAUUCGAACUGCUGCGUGCACACGCGAACUUCUAUAUUAUAUGGGCAAUCUUCGGAUACGGUCGCGGAAAGGCGAACGUGCCAUCCACCACGAUGUCCCCACGUUGCGAUUACGUAAGAAUGGUUCCACCACAAAUCGAUAUCGUCGAGUUUUGAUUCGCAGCUGCGAUUACAUUUCAGGUAAGUACAAACAGCACUUGUUCAAUAAAAUUGACAAACUAAAACUAAGCUAUCGCAUUUCCAUUUCAUAAAAACAUUAAUAUAAAGUUAUUAUAAUUAAUGCGAAAA
Long non-coding RNA from Ooceraea biroi (clonal raider ant), 424 nucleotides. RefSeq lists it as uncharacterized. NCBI's taxonomy places the organism in Eukaryota, Metazoa, Arthropoda, Insecta, Hymenoptera, Formicidae. The record is from RefSeq and is a predicted model, not a curated record.